Molecule: long non-coding RNA, 2044 nt
Organism: Gallus gallus (chicken)
Lineage: Eukaryota; Metazoa; Chordata; Aves; Galliformes; Phasianidae
Exons: 3
Source: RefSeq, a predicted model, not a curated record
GCCCUGCGGGAAGGCCGGCCGAGGCGCCGCGCUCCGUGUGGGAGCAGCAAACAGGAAGAGCCGCAGCGCUCCGUGCCGCGCGGCCCCGCAGCUGGGCUGCAGCUUCCGGCUGGGAGCGGCGCUGUGCGGUCUGGCUGUGUAGGUGAGAAGCGGUUCUGUACAGCUCGUGCUGUAAGGCGGCUACCUGCACCGCGCGGCUUCUCCGGCGGCACUUCAGCAACAGCUGCUCCGCUAACUGAUGUCAGCGUGCUCUCUUAGAAGACAGACAGCCUCGUGAUAUUGAACUCUAACCUCAGAGUCAGUGCUCAGAGUACGAUCUCUGGGCCUUACUAGCAGAAGGAAGUCAGAACACCCGUGUUCUUUUUUCCCCAUCCCCGGUCUCUGGGAAGUAGUAUGGCUCUUUACCACACAAAUAUUUAUUUCAAAUGAACAGCUGUCUGCGACUUAAAUCAAACGAACCUUACUGUCUCCAUAGCACGUGGUAAUUCAGGCUGUAUAAAUACACACUGCAGUGCACAUACUGCCUGCAGGUGCAGGGCUCAGGGCAGCUGGUGCUGGCCCUCCCCUGCCGCCCACCUGUCUUCCAGCGCUGAUGUCCACGCUGUGUCCUGGCUCCUCUCCUUCUCCAGGAGCUCGGCCUGCACCUCAAACUUCUGCUCCAGCUUCUGCAGGCUUGAGUCCAGGUCUUGGAACCGCGUCUCCAAGGCUUGCAGCCUGCUUUCUACUCUGGAGAGUGGGAAACAAGCAUUGGUUUAGAACCUGGGCCUCAACGCGCUGUGCUUUCUGCGUGUGGUGAUGCAUUCCACUGAGCUGAUCCAGGCCAGAUACUGAGGUUCCUCCCAAGCCAACUGAGUGGGACUUCCUGGGCUUCUUUCAUCCUGGUGGUGGCUUUUGUGAAGAUAACGUUCUGUUUCAGACCCCUUUUCCACUCUUCCCUUGCUGAGAAGCAGCGGCCGUGGCUCUCGUUUGGUGCUGCUGCUGUUGCCCACCUGGAUGAUCAGACACCAUCGAGCAGUGAUGGUGCUGUUAUGUGCAGUGGAACACACGGACAGGUGCCAGCAGGGGAAGCAGGUGCCAGACUAUAAUUGAAGCCAGUGAAGCUGUCAAUCAAAGCUUUUUUGCAAGCCUCUUUAUGUACAGGCUUUGGAAAUAGAAGGUGACUCAGCGUUACCCAUGUCCCAGUUCCUUGGUCACAAUGAUUUUCUUUCUUAAAAUACAGAAGGGUUUGUCUUGCUUUUUGUCAACUACAGCCACUUGCUUCCUGUCUUUGAACCCUGUAAGUGCUGAGAUAUUUUCCCAAAUUUGGAAGUCCAUUCCCAAUCGCCCAUUUACAGCAGAACUACAGCAGAGCACAAACCAGAAUUUCCUGUUACCGACAAGCUCCUGGCAGCACUUCGUGCAGCUACCAGCCUUUGCUGAUCAAGCACUUGCACAGAAUCCUGCAGCAAGCUGCCAGGACCAGCAGCUUGAAGCUGGCAAGGAUGGUGUUCAUGAAGUGCUGCAGCCCUCUGCUCUGUUCUCUCCCUCUCCAAUAAAUAAAGGAGAAACAAGAGGAUUGCUCAUGAACUACCCUCUUCCCACAUACACACUGUAUUUGUUUACAUCCUAUUACCUGUGAAAAUGUCCAAAGUACAGAUUAUCUUGCUAACAGACCACAGCAUAAUCUUGUCUCCUCUCCCCCUGCCCCAGUCCUGUAUGCCACUUAUCCCCUAACAUAGCAUUAGCACAACCCUUUAAAGACCUGUUUAAUGUCUUGCUCAGGGAGCGCAGGGAUAUGCUGUCUUUAGCCAUCGUCCUGGAGAAAAGAAGUCAAGCAGGGGUGGGCUCCAGUCCUCUCCUGAGGCAGUCAACACCACGGAUGGGGGCUCUGACUCCUGCCGGGGGGUGACUGCACCGGGCUUUUAAUAGACUGUACAUCCAAAUAUAGCUCACAGAUACACAGACACAUGCUCCUGAACGUACUGCACAUCAAAUUACACAACUGGACCUCUGCUUCUGACGCACUGAUCUCAUCUGUCUUCAAAAAUAAAGGGAAUAAUGAGAA